This 333-nucleotide ribosomal RNA is filed under the name uncultured bacterium. RNAcentral describes it as "partial 16S ribosomal RNA". It matches the Rfam family "Bacterial small subunit ribosomal RNA", at positions 338 to 668 of the family's 1533-position model. The record is from RNAcentral.
CCUACGGGAGACAGCUGUGAGGAAUAUUGGUCAAUGGGCGCGAGCCUGAACCAGCCACGUAGCGUGAAGGAUGACUGCCCUACGGGUUGUAAACUUCUUUUAUAAAGGCAUAACGUGAGGCACUUGCUCCUUUUUGUGUGUCCUCUAUGAAUAAGGAUCGGCUAACUCCGUUCCAGCAGCCGCGGUAAUACGGAGGAUCCGAGCGUUAUCCGGAUUUAUUGGGUUUAAAGGGAGCGUAGAUGGGUUUGUAAGUCAGUUGUGAAAGUUUGCGGCUAAACCGUCAAAUUGCAAUUGAUACUGGCAGUCUUGAGUACAGGUGAGGUAGGCGGAAUU